Molecule: long non-coding RNA, 4316 nt
Organism: Cervus elaphus (red deer)
Lineage: Eukaryota; Metazoa; Chordata; Mammalia; Artiodactyla; Cervidae
Exons: 3
Source: RefSeq, a predicted model, not a curated record
UUGGAUCCUAGCUGGGGGGGGGGGGGGGUAAAAAUAAAGUGUUUCCACCUCCAGCCAAUCCCAGGGAAGACAGGAGGGCACUCCUCCAAUAGGACCCUGGAGCCGUCGGUAGCAGUGGCGGCCUGCGACCACCCCUAGCGCUUUGGCAGGCGGGAGGGACGCAUCCGGUGCAUUCGCGAGAUCCAGUUGCCGGUACCUGGAAUCUGCUUGCGCGAGGCAGUGGCGGCACCGACGGCCCGAGGUUUCCGGUCAGCAGGUUGCGGAGGAUCGUGCGGGUAGCAAAAGGAGGGCGAGUGCUCCUGCGGCCCCAAACAGCAACCAGAACAUGCAUCAUUGUUAGAACCAUCACCCUGCAGCUAGCUUGGACACCAUUAAAAGGGCUCAUCAGCUGCAAACGGAUAGAAGUAUCUGAUAUCUGAAGACAGUUUCAGGGCUUCUCCUUGGAGCUACAUUCUCCAGAAGCCCCUGCUUGACCUCCCUGCACCCAGCCCCACUCCAUCCAGUCACAACUUGGGUCGUGUGUGGUAUUUCUUGGCAACUGGAACAUAGACUUCUCCAGCAGCUCCACAGGCCCCUUGCCCUCAGUGAGCAGAAGACUACAGAAGCUGGCUACUGAAGAGGCCGUCCAAGUCUUAGAGCUCCUCAUUGGCCCUGCUUAGCACAGUGCUGUAACUGAGUGCUGGAUGUUAGUCGUUCAUGCUCACCACCUUUAGGGACUGCAAAGGGAUUUGUCAGACCCCAUUUCACUAAGGGCCACCCUCUAAGGAUCUCAACAGGAGGCUGUCCAUAGAGAGAAGUGGCCUGCCUGGGGUCUCCACUGCCUUAGGUCCUAUGUGGACACUCCAGAUCUAAGGGGAUUAGUAUUUUUUCACCUACCUGUCAUCCACUUAUCAACUGGGAAAUUUCGUCUCCUGUUAUUUUUUGUUCUUAUGUUUGUUUUUUAGUAGAAAGAAUUUUAUCUAUUGCUUCAAUUCCUUUAGUAGUUAGAGAACUAGUCAGGAUUUCUUUUUCAUCUUGAAUCUAUUCUACUAAGUUAUAGUUUUCUGGGAAUUGGUCCAUUUUUUCUGCCUUCUCAAGUUUAUUAGCAUUAAGUUUCCUUAUUUUUUUUUUAUUUUCUGCUGUAUACAAUCUGUAGUUAUGUCUCCUUUUUCAUUGCUAAUAUUGGUAAUUUGUGCCUUCUCACUUUUUUUCUUGAUCAAUCUCACCAGAGGUUUGUCUAUUUUAUUAGUCUUUUCAAAGAACCAGCUUUUGGCUUUGUUGCUCCUCUCUAUUUUGUCUUUGUUUUCUAUUUCUUUAAUUUCUGCUCUUAUCUUUUUUGAUCUCCUUCCUUCCACAUUUUUUGGAUUUAUUUUGUUGUUAUUUUUCUAAUUUCUUAAAUUUGACACUGAGCUCAUUAAUUUUCAGCCUUGCUUGUUUUCUUAUUUGCACAUUUAAGGACAUAACUUUCCCUCUAAUUACUGCUUUUCUACAAGUUCAGACAUGUUAUAUUUUGUUACUGUUUGGUUCCAAGUACUUUGGCAUUUCCAUCAUGGUUACUUUUUUGACUUGUGAGUUAUUUAGAAGUGUGUUUCUAAAUAUUUGGAGAUUUUAAAAUUUAUCUCUGUUACUGAAGUCUGUCUUAAUUGCAUUAUAGUCAGGAUGUGAUCUGUGUGAUUAAAAACAUAUUUAUUGAGACUUGUUUUAUGGCUUAGUAGUGAUCAAUAUUUUUGAAUGUUUCCUAUGUGCUUUAUAAGAAUGUAUGUUCUCUAAUUGUUGAAUACAGAGUUCUAUAUAAGUCUGUUAUCAAAUUUGUUCAUUGUAUUAUUCACAUUUUCUAUAUAUAAACUGAAUUUUUGGUCAUAAUAUACCAAUAAUUGUAAGGUGUAUUAAUAUGCAGUUAUGAUGGUGAUUUGUUUAUUUCUCCUUGUAGUUCUUUUUUUCUUUUAGUUAUUUUUGAGAGUAUUUUAUUAGGAAUAUUCAAAUUAAGAAUUGUUAUAUAUUCCUGGUAAGCAUGUAAUGACCCUCUCUAUUCCUGAUAAUGCAUUCUUCCUGUUUUAUCUCACAUUAAUAUAGCAACACAAAUUUUUCUUCUUGUUAGGAUUUGUGUGGUAUAUAAUUUUCCAUCCUUUUACUCUUCAACAUUUUCAUGCCUUUAUACUUUAAUUAUAUCUCUUGGGAAUAGCAUAUAGCUGGACCUUUUAAGAAGUCUGAUCUAAUGAUCUCUUUUUUAAUGAUGACUUUAGUCUGUUUACAUUUAUUGUGAUAUAUUUUGACUUGUUUCUACCACCAUACUUUUUAACCUCUAUUUCCUACUACCACCUUUUUGAUGCUUCAUUUUUCUCCUUUUUUUGCCUGCUUUUUUAGUUUUGAAAUUUGUUUGUUUUUUUGAUUAUUUUUUUCCUCCCUGCUCUUUGGAAUUUGCCUAUUUUUUCCCAUUCUUUCUGUGGUUAUCCUUGAAAUUUUACCAUGCAUGUUUAACUUACAAGGUUUAAAGUUGAACAGUAUUUUAACCUCCCUCUUGAAGAAUUCAGGAACCUUUGAAGCCUUCAACUCUAGUCAUUCAUAUCUUAACUACAUGUUAUUUUUUUGAGUAUGUUUGUUUGUUCCUUUUUCUCCCCUAACCUCACUAAUAUAACAUCAUUAGUAUAUUUUACAUAGAUAGUUGUGUUCGGAUUUACAUGCAUACAUUCCUGCAUCUCAGACAUCAUUCUGGGAUCAUUUUCUUUCAUUAUGAUUACAGUGUUUAACUGCUCUUACAGUACAUGUCUGUUGGUGUUAAAUUCUCCUAGUCAUUAUUAUAUGUGAAUUUAUUUAUUCUCAUUCUUAAAAGAUAGUUUGUUAUAGGUAAUAUUAGAAGUCCACUAUCUGUCUAAUUGCUAUUUUUUCUCUUUUCUUGGGGGUUGGAUAUUCAUGGGAUUCUGCAGUUUCAUUCUAUCAGUGUUUACAUAUGUUUUUCUUUUUUAUUAUCAUGCUUUGGAGAUGUUCUUCAUGCCUCUGGGUUUAUGUUUUUCAUAAUUUCUGGGAAAUUCUCAGCCUUGUCUCCAAAUAUUGCCUGUCUUCCAUUCUUUCUAUAUUUUCUUUCUCAGAAUUCAGUUGGUCAUAUUUUGGACCUCUUCAUUCUAUCUUCCAUAUCUCAUAAUGUCUCAUUGAUAUUUUCUAUUGUCUUGUCUUCCUGAACUUCAUUCUAGGCAAUUUCUUUAGCUAUGUCUUUUAGCUUAUUGAUUCUCUCUUCAACUCUGUCUGAUCUGCUGUUCAAUCUGUCCACUGAGUUUUUUAUUUCAAGAAUUAUAUUUUUCACUUAUACAAACUUCAUAUAUUUCACUUUCUAAUCUUCCCAGUCAUCCCUAAUAGUCUCUUGUUGCUUGCUCAUCUUUGUGAUUGCAUUUAUUAUUUCUUUAAACAUUUUAUACAAUUAUUAUUCAACCAGUAAUCAUUGUUUGUCUAAGUAUGGCGUUAUAAAUAUUGUUCACAUCCAACUACAUAUUACAGUUGGAUUACAUAUCCUUUGUUGUAUGCCUUUUUGUUUUCUUAGUAACUGGGUUUUUUUUUCUUUUGCCUAGUGUUCUAAUACCAUUACUAGUUCUUCUCUGAAAUUCUUUUUAAAAUUCAUAUCAGAUCAUGUCCCUCCUUUGCUCAAAAUUCUCCCAUAGCUCCCAGCUCCCUUAGAAUAAAAGCCAAAGCCCUCACCAUGGCCCAAAAGUCUUUACACAACCUGGUCCCCAUCACCUCUCUGAUCUUCCACUCUCCCCAUCACUCACUGUUCUCCAACCACAUUGUAUUCCUUAAGCAUGUCAGGUAUCUCCCCCCACCAACUUCAGAGCCUUUGUACUUGCUAGUCUCACAUCUAGAAUACUCUUCUUCCCAGAUAAUCUGAUGACUUACCCACCCACUUCCAGUAUGCUCAACUGUCACCUCCCUAGAGAAGCAUUCCCUGACUGACAUAUCUAAAAUAACCCCAUUCACCAGCACUUUCUAUCCCCUUAUCCUCCUCUAUGUUAUAUUUUUCUACAAAUCACUGAUGACCAACUGAUAUAUUAUAUUUAUUUACUAUGAUCAGUGUUUGUCUCUCCACAAUAGACUGUAAGCUGCACAAAGCAAGGACUGUUGUUUUGUCCAUAGUUGUCUCUCUAGUGUUAAGCAUAGUGCAUAGUCAUAUUAAAUGGACAUUCAAUAAAUAUUUUUGGAAUAAACUGAGUGAAUUAAUGAAUGAAUUAAUGUGGAGGAUAAAGGGAGAAAUGCAUUGAGAACUCAACUAGGCAUGAAGGCCUUUCGUGUCAUGCAAAGGAGCUUGAGUGUUAUUGUUCAGAAGGAUAGGGGCUGUAAAAAAGCAGUGAGGA